UCUGGAUUUUUUAAUCUUUUUGGUUUGCAUAGAGUUUGCGGUUUAUUCAUUCGCACUAAAUCAAUUGAAUUAAUUUUAAAUUUUCAAGAAUAUUAAGUGUAUACAAAAUGGCAAGUGAAGAACAUUAAUUUCAAUUUUGAUUUGAAUUAUACUUUUAAUAUAAACCAAUUAAAAUUUAGAGAUGGAUUCUGAUUUUUGGGACAUUUUGAGGUGUUUGAGAGAAUCAUUAACAGAGGAAAAAGAACAGAAAAAAAGGGAGCAGUGGGGGAAAAUCGGGGAAAUUCUUUUGGGUUUUGGAGAGAGCAAAGCCAAGAAAGGAGAUUUCUGGGGCAAAAUCGAGAAAACCAGCGAGAAGCCUGAGAGGAGAGACCAUGGGAGAGGAAUAGGGAUUCUAGGGUUUUCGAGACCAAAUGGGGAAUCGAUUUAACGCUGAGAGAGAUCGGACCGACGGAGAGGGAGAAAUUAAAGGAGAGUCCAGACGGACAGAGUACACGGCUAAGAGUUUGUCCCUGAAGGAUGGUAUGGUAUACUCUAAUUAGCUCCUCUUCUGUACCAGUCUCUGGUGCGAAGAGGCCGUAAAGAACUUGAGCAUUGAAUGAGGAAUGAAGAGAGUUUUUAAGCUUAUAUUAAUUCUUAGUUUGUUCUUUCCUUUGUCCGUUUCUUCACUACACCUAUGGUUUAGGUUAAAUAUUUUUUACAACUGAUGAUCCUACCACAUGGAUGCAUAUUUAGCUUUAAUAACAAUGGCUUAAAUACUGUUCAUACUGUUAUCGGACGUUGUUGAUGAGCCAGUGACUGCUUUCUUCUCUUGUUAUCUUAUAUAUAUCUUCUUUGUUUACUUGCAUUUAUGAGAUUUCAAAGAUCCCCUGAAAUGCCCUGUAAAUACCCUGCUUUUCAUACACUCUUGUUAUUAUUAUUUUUUCAGUUUUAAUAUCAGGAGAUCCCAUCGUAACUCCCAUGACGUAUUCAGCCAGUUAACUCUAUAUAGUUUGCAUUUGCUGAAACAGGUUUUUGCCUUCAUGGUCAACUGUGGAAGGUUGUUGUUUUGUUCACUUCGCAGUUUUAAUUGGCUGGCAGUGAAUGCCUACGUCAUAACUUUUGAAAACCCUUUCAUUAAAUAGAUCAUUUGGUCUGAUUUUUGAAACACUGGUUCUGCUCAUGAAGUAUAGCUGACUGGGAUUGUCUAUGAACUUGAUAGAUUAGAAGACCUACCCGGAAAUGGUGUCUUUUGAGUUUAUUGAUCUGUACCUGGGGUUGUGGGGACACAAAUAUGCAUUGUCUUUUUUCUCUUCAUGCUUUAGUUAUGUGUUAUUGGCAUUGAGGGCACUUAGUAGCUUAAAAUAUAAUCUCAGUUUAACCAUAGAGGCAGAUGAGGUGUAUCAAAACUGGCUUUAGAUAAUUGCUUUGAGAAGAUGCCGCUGCAAUAUUUUCUUGCCUUGUGAGUGACUUGUAGGCCGUAAAGAGAGAUUUAGAGAAGUCAUUCUUUACCCUUAAGGUAUCUGCAAUUUUACUAUGUUCUGAAUUGUUUAGGUUUAUGAUUGAAUGAUGGUGCAUGGAAGAGGAUUUGUUAGAUGAAGAAGAUUUCUUGUUUUUAUGUAUUCAACUGGAUUAGUUCAUUUUUGGUCAGACACGCACCAUCCAUCAUAAAGAGGGCUUGCAGCAUACUUAAGGUGGAAUCAUAUGGGGACGUGGUUAACAUGUGUGCCUUAACGGGGUAUGGAUUGAGGAGAUAUUUAGUUGCUUUUUUUAAUGGGUAUAUUUGUGGAUAUGUUGGUUGGCACUAGUGUGCUAUGUAAGUGGGAAUAAAUGGACAACAUAAUGGAUAAGUCUUUCUUGGUUGGAAGCAUAUACUCUGAGUCUGAUAUGAAUUCUUUCAUGUUUAAUCCUCUUGAUGAGUGGCACCAAGGGAGGUUUUGAAGACAUCCCUCAUUUUUUUUCUUUUAUUUUAUUAAUGCGAUCUUCUUUCUCCAGUAUAUUUUUAAAUAUUUUAAUUUAGCAUUUCAGUAGAAUUUAUUCAAGCAUGAGUAUUAAUGUAAAACACACUUGCACCAUAGUUAAGAACACAAAUAAUACAUGCAAUUUGAGUAUUACCUUAGUUAAUUAUUGUUACAUAUUACAUUUCUAACGUCUUCCUAUCUUGUACUGUUUUAGUUUUAAGUUCCUGUGUUCAUGACUGGUGCAAUUUUGAUACUUGAUCUCAUCCUUAUAGAUCAGUUGGCAACUUUUUUUUGCUUGAAAAUUUAUUUUUUGAGAGCUCUGCCAUUACUGUUUUGGCAAAGCUGAUUUAGAUCUUCUGAAUUGCCACCAGCAAGACUCCAACCCUUUGGGUCGUGCAGGUGCUGAUUGAGGCAUAUCCAUCAAGAGUCGAUUCUACAAAUUGGCAAACAAGACCGAGUAAGCGUCAAAUGGUAGAGAGGUGGUCAAGACGAGUGCUAGAGAGAGAGCAAGAUUGGAGAACACACAUGCUGUAAACCCUGCGACAAUCAGCAAAGCAGGAGAAAUAGAUCGCGAUGCCAAUUGUCUUGAAUCAGAUGGGCCAAGAUGGGUCGCCGGCAGUGACGCUUUCCAGCGAGAAAGCCAAUGGUGGAGGAUUGGGACGAUCGUGUUGGCUCGGGGUACUUGAUGGCGAGCUUCAAGUUGAAAAUUUUGGUCUCUGGGACACAGAUUAGGAAGCUAGGUGUUGUCGUUAUCUUAAGUGGCUCCAAGUAAAUACCGCAUGUAAUUUAUAUGGAGUCUAUGUAAAUUAAUGAAUGACAUUUAUGUAAAUUAAAAUAAAUGAUAUUAUUAUCAUGCCUGUUGAUAUUUAACUAAGUUAAUUUUCGGUAA
Non-coding RNA from Carica papaya (papaya), 2826 nucleotides. NCBI's taxonomy places the organism in Eukaryota, Viridiplantae, Streptophyta, Magnoliopsida, Brassicales, Caricaceae. The record is from RefSeq and is a predicted model, not a curated record.